This 235-nucleotide ribosomal RNA is filed under the name Abyssorchomene distinctus. Its description in RNAcentral is "partial 16S ribosomal RNA". RNAcentral also lists the same sequence under 1 other name. Lineage: Eukaryota; Metazoa; Arthropoda; Malacostraca; Amphipoda; Lysianassidae. The record is from RNAcentral.
CCCUAAAAGCUUUACUAUAGUUUAUAUAUUUAUAUUGUAAUAAUUAGUUUUACUGGGGUAGUGACUUUUAAAAGAUUGAGGUUUAGUUAACAUUAAUGUGGGUUUAGUUCUUAUAAAUAAUAAAAAUUGAAUUAGUUACUUUAGGGAUAACAGCGUAAUAAUCUCGGAAAGUUCAUAUUUAUGGAGUAGAUUGCGACCUCGAUGUUGAAUUAAAAUAAUCUUAGUGGAGUAGAAG